Molecule: ribosomal RNA, 425 nt
Filed under: uncultured bacterium
Lineage: Bacteria
Description: partial 16S ribosomal RNA
Rfam family: Bacterial small subunit ribosomal RNA
Source: RNAcentral
GUGGGGAAUAUUGGACAAUGGGCGCAAGCCUGAUCCAGCCAUGCCGCGUGAGUGAUGAAGGCCUUAGGGUUGUAAAGCUCUUUCAGUGGGGACGAUAAUGACGGUACCCACAGAAGAAGCCCCGGCUAACUUCGUGCCAGCAGCCGCGGUAAUACGAAGGGGGCUAGCGUUGUUCGGAUUUACUGGGCGUAAAGCGCACGUAGGCGGAUCGUUAAGUCGGGGGUGAAAUCCUGGAGCUCAACUCCAGAACUGCAUUCGAUACUGGCGAUCUUGAGUCCGGAAGAGGUGAGUGGAACUCCUAGUGUAGAGGUGGAAUUCGUAGAUAUUAGGAAGAACACCAGUGGCGAAGGCGGCUCACUGGUCCGGUACUGACGCUGAGGUGCGAAAGCGUGGGGAGCAAACAGGAUUAGAUACCCCAGUAGUCC